Molecule: ribosomal RNA, 482 nt
Filed under: uncultured bacterium
Lineage: Bacteria
Description: partial 16S ribosomal RNA
Rfam family: Bacterial small subunit ribosomal RNA
Source: RNAcentral
AUUAAACGCUGGCGGCAUGCCUUACACAUGCAAGUCGAACGGUAACAGGUCUUCGGAUGCUGACGAGUGGCGAACGGGUGAGUAAUACAUCGGAACGUGCCCAGACGUGGGGGAUAACGAGGCGAAAGCUUUGCUAAUACCGCAUACGAUCUAAGGAUGAAAGCAGGGGACCGCAAGGCCUUGCGCGUUUGGAGCGGCCGAUGGCAGAUUAGGUAGUUGGUGGGAUUAAAGCUUACCAAGCCGACGAUCUGUAGCUGGUCUGAGAGGACGACCAGCCACACUGGGACUGAGACACGGCCCAGACUCCUACGGGAGGCAGCAGUGGGGAAUUUUGGACAAUGGGCGAAAGCCUGAUCCAGCAAUGCCGCGUGCAGGAUGAAGGCCUUCGGGUUGUAAACUGCUUUUGUACGGAACGAAAAGGCUCUGGCUAAUACCUGGGGCACAUGACGGUACCGUAAGAAUAAGCACCGGCUAACUACGUG